This 465-nucleotide ribosomal RNA is filed under the name uncultured Klebsiella sp. Its description in RNAcentral is "bacterial SSU rRNA". It matches the Rfam family "Bacterial small subunit ribosomal RNA", at positions 338 to 795 of the family's 1533-position model. The record is from RNAcentral. Lineage: Bacteria; Pseudomonadati; Pseudomonadota; Gammaproteobacteria; Enterobacterales; Enterobacteriaceae.
CCUACGGGAGGCUGCAGUGGGGAAUAUUGCACAAUGGGCGCAAGCCUGAUGCAGCCAUGCCGCGUGUGUGAAGAAGGCUUUCGGGUUGUAAAGCACUUUCAGCGGGGAGGAAGGCGGUGAGGUUAAUAACCUCCUCGAUUGACGUUACCCGCAGAAGAAGCACCGGCUAACUCCGUGCCAGCAGCCGCGGUAAUACGGAGGGUGCAAGCGUUAAUCGGAAUUACUGGGCGUAAAGCGCACGCAGGCGGUCUGUCAAGUCGGAUGUGAAAUCCCCGGGCUCAACCUGGGAGCUGCAUUCGAAACUGGCAGGCUAGAGUCUUGUGGAGGGGGGUAGAAUUCCAGGUGUAGCGGUGAAAUGCGUAGAGAUCUGGAGGAAUACCGGUGGCGAAGGCGGCCCCCUGGACAAAUACUGACGCUCAGGUGCGAAAGCGUGGGGAGCAAACAGGAUUAGAUACCCUAGUAGUC